Peromyscus eremicus (cactus mouse) is the source of this 730-nucleotide long non-coding RNA. RefSeq lists it as uncharacterized. The transcript has 4 exons. NCBI's taxonomy places the organism in Eukaryota, Metazoa, Chordata, Mammalia, Rodentia, Cricetidae. The record is from RefSeq and is a predicted model, not a curated record.
UAAUAAAAUCUUAAUUCUCUAGUCCCUUCCUGAAUAUGUUCAGUGAUGUGAGUAUUUUUAUAUUAGAUGUCUUGCUUUAUUGCUUUUAGGUAUUCCACUUAAUUAUUUAAUGACAUAAUAGUACCCUCUAAUUCUCACAGGUUCUUCUUUCCUUUGUUGGUGACAAAAAUGAAGGCCAGGAAAAGAACUUCCUGUUUGCUUGAAGUCAAAGGUGUACAUGGGACUCAUGGAAUCCCAUGAAUCGUGAAAUGCCUACUGGCAGGCUAUUCAUCUAAAAAUGCCAAUUUGUUUUCAUGUAUAUUCAUCUGCAUUGGAAUUUGCUUGCCAUUCCAAGUCUCUGCAAAAUUCUCCUUGAGCCAUCCUUGAAAAUCUAAAGAAAACAUACAUCUGAGAGGCCCUUGUUAAUAUCUGCAGAAUCAUUGGCACUGUGUGGAUUGCAUGAAUUGUGCAUGUUGAACUGGUGAACUUUUUCUCAAUAAAAAAAUUCUGGAAAGGAACUCAUUCAGAUGAAGAGACAUUUAAGACAAAGGAGACAGGAACAUGAGGAAUGGAUGAAAAAGCCUUGGACUCAAUAACAGACCUAUUAAUUACAGGAUAAGCAGGAAAAAUAAAUUUCUUUAUACAGUCUAACUUCAUUGGGUCUUUAAAUACAAAAAUUUGUUAAAUUUGGGAGUCUUUGGUUGGAGGAAGGAUGUACAAUGUACUGGAAAACUUCAAACAAAAAAAACUA